RNAcentral lists this ribosomal RNA (1500 nucleotides) under human gut metagenome. RNAcentral describes it as "bacterial LSU rRNA". It matches the Rfam family "Bacterial large subunit ribosomal RNA", at positions 487 to 2096 of the family's 2925-position model. The record is from RNAcentral.
AUAGUGAACCAGUACCGUGAGGGAAAGGUGAAAAGCACCCCGACAAGGGGAGUGAAAGAGAACCUGAAAUCGGAUGCCUACAAGCAGUCGGAGGGGCAUUAAGCCCUGACGGCGUACCUUUUGUAUAAUGGGUCAGCGAGUUAGUUUAUGUAGCAAGCAUAAGCCGAUAGGUGGAUGCGUAGCGAAAGCGAGUGUUAAUAGCGCGUUAAGUUACAUGAAUUAGACCCGAAACCGAGUGAUCUAGCCAUGAACAGGUUGAAGGUUGGGUAACACCAACUGGAGGACCGAACCCACUCCCGUUGAAAAGGUAGGGGAUGAUUUGUGGCUAGGGGUGAAAGGCCAAUCAAACUCGGAAAUAGCUGGUUCUCCGCGAAAACUAUUUAGGUAGUGCGGUAGGCGAACACCAUGAGGGGUAGAGCACUGAAAGAGCUAAGGGGGAGCGAUCCUUACUAAACUUUAUCAAACUCCGAAUACUCAUGAGUGAUACUUACCAGACAGACAGUAGGUGCUAAGGUCUAUUGUCGAGAGGGAAAGAGCCCAGACCGUCAACUAAGGUCCCUAAAUUAUGGCUAAGUGGUAAAGGAAGUGGGAUAUCCAAAACAGUCAGGAGGUUGGCUUAGAAGCAGCCAUCCUUUAAAGAAAGCGUAAUAGCUCACUGAUCUAAAUAAGACGUCCUGCGCCGAAGAUGUAACGGGGCUAAAGCCAUAUACCGAAGUUACGGGAUUGUAUUGCAAUAGAUACAAUCGGUAGCGGAGCGUUCUGUAGGCCUGCGAAGGUGAACCGUAAGGUUUGCUGGAGGUAUCAGAAGUGAGAAUGCUGACAUGAGUAGCGAAAAGAAGAGUGAGAGACUCUUCCGCUGAAAGUCCAAGGUUUCCUGCGUAAAGCUAAUCUGCGCAGGGUUAGUCGGCCCCUAAGGCGAGGCAGAGAUGCGUAGCUGAUGGGAACACGGUUAAUAUUCCGUGACCAGUUAGGAAGUGACGGAUACAGUAGUUUGUACAUGCUUAAUGGAUUGUGUGUGCAAGUGAUGUGUCCCGGGAAAUAGCCCUAACGAAGACCGUACCCGAAACCGACACAGGUGGACAGGUAGAGUAUACCAAAGCGCUUGAGAGAACUAUGUUGAAGGAACUAGGCAAAAUGCUUGUGUAACUUCGGGAUAAGCAAGCCCGGUUUUAAGGCAACUUAAGGCCGGGGGCACAUACUAGGGGGUAGCGACUGUUUAACAAAAACACAGGACUCUGCGAAAUUGAAAGAUGAAGUAUAGGGUCUGACGCCUGCCCGGUGCCGGAAGGUUAAGAGGAGAUGUGAGAGCAUUGAAUUGAAGCCCCAGUAAACGGCGGCCGUAACUAUAACGGUCCUAAGGUAGCGAAAUUCCUUGUCAGGUAAGUUCUGACCCGCACGAAUGGUGUAACGAUUUGGGCACUGUCUCAACAACCCACCCGGCGAAAUUGUAGUACCGGUGAAGAUGCCGGUUACCCGCGACUAGACGGAAAGACCCCAUGG